Molecule: long non-coding RNA, 890 nt
Organism: Phyllopteryx taeniolatus (common seadragon)
Lineage: Eukaryota; Metazoa; Chordata; Actinopteri; Syngnathiformes; Syngnathidae
Exons: 3
Source: RefSeq, a predicted model, not a curated record
UAACAUCUACACUAAUUUCCGUUCGUCCGUCUAUGGCGUUUCAUAUAUGUUAGCAUUAAGCUAGCGGCUCAAAUAAAAUGGUUGAGGUGAAUAUGUUAUUGUUUUAAUAUAGAAUGUUGAAUUCUCUUUUCUUUUAUGUGUCAAACUUCAACUGGGAGUCAAAAAUAACCUGAAGCAAGCACGCUCCACCUCUUAUUUGGAGAACUGUGAGAGCAAGAGAAUGAGAACAGUGCAGAUUUUCACCGAUUGCAGGUAGUUCUGGGAUACAUCCGCUCCAAUCAUGUUGAGGAAAAUUGAGGGGCUCUUGGUGCAAAUGGCCCUCAACAUACACGCAGUGAUCCGACAUCCGCUGUCUGAGCAGAGGGGUUCAGGAGUGUGAGCAGCGGGCACACGGGGAUGGCUGGAUUCAAGAGAGGAAAAGCAACGUGGACAGACAAGGCAAGUGCCUGACCCGCUUCGAGCACUUCUGCUAAUUCCACAUACAAACACGGCCCACCCACUCGAAAACAGAUGUUAAAGAACUAAGACAAUCGUCUAGGAUUUCUUGUUCAUCGAUGUAGGAGGGGAAUCAAUGCAACACUGGCCGACAAAGACCUCGAAUGCCACUCAUCACAGUGCACUUGCUUUGGGUUGUGCGCAUCGAUUUGAUUAACAUGUGCUCUGAUGUCGACGUUACGCUAAAAUACACUCCCCGGCAAGGGAUUCCAAAAGCUUAUGGUUACUCAUCUUUGCGAUCCUCAACAAAGAAUUCAACAUUAGACCAAAAAAAUAGGACAAUGUAAUUGCCUCCUGGUACGUAUCUGAUCCAAUAGUCGUGCUCAGAUCUAUUUGGAUUUGCUACAGUGGAAUAUUUGGGGAAAAAUAUGUCUAACGGCAUAUAAAACGUCAGU